CUCCUCUUCAAGUGCAGGUUCUCUACUAGAGUUUGGAAUGAGGUGUUUGCCUGGCUUGGUCUAAAUAUCCCCACGACUCCUUGGCUCCAGUUUAACAUGGUCAAAUCUUGGUGGGACGCGCUACUCACUAACAAUGGUCAACCCACGAAAGCUCUAUCUUCCCUUCUCCUUCUUGUGGGAUGGGAACUUUGGAAGGAAAGGAAUGCGGGCGUCUUCAGGAACAAGGCGGCACCGCUGGCGAUCAUCAUACGAUGCAUCAAAGAAGAAGUGUCCAUUUGGGCCAUUGCGGGCGCCAAACAUUUGCGUAAUGUAAUGCCGCGAGAGUAA
RNAcentral lists this ribosomal RNA (327 nucleotides) under Triticum aestivum (bread wheat). RNAcentral's name for it is "partial small subunit ribosomal RNA". Lineage: Eukaryota; Viridiplantae; Streptophyta; Magnoliopsida; Poales; Poaceae. The record is from RNAcentral.